Non-coding RNA from Marasmius oreades (fairy-ring Marasmius), 84 nucleotides. NCBI's taxonomy places the organism in Eukaryota, Fungi, Basidiomycota, Agaricomycetes, Agaricales, Marasmiaceae. The record is from the annotation of a RefSeq genome assembly.
GGCCGCCUGGCGAAAUGGCAUCGCGUCUGACUACGAUUUCGUAAAGUUAUCAGGAGAUUGCAGGUUCGACCCCUGCGGUGGUCA